RNAcentral lists this unclassified non-coding RNA (300 nucleotides) under plant metagenome. RNAcentral's name for it is "partial contains 5.8S ribosomal RNA, internal transcribed spacer 2, and large subunit ribosomal RNA". The stretch from base 1 to 105 matches the Rfam family "5.8S ribosomal RNA", at positions 50 to 154 of the family's 154-position model. The record is from RNAcentral.
GAAAUGCGAUAAGUAAUGUGAAUUGCAGAAUUCAGUGAAUCAUCGAAUCUUUGAACGCACAUUGCGCCCCCUGGUAUUCCGGGGGGCAUGCCUGUUCGAGCGUCAUUUCACCACUCAAGCCUCGCUUGGUAUUGGGCGACGCGGUCCGCCGCGCGCCUCAAAUCGACCGGCUGGGUCUUCCGUCCCCUCAGCGUUGUGGAAACUAUUCGCUAAAGGGUGCCGCGGGAGGUCACGCCGCAAAACAACCCCAUUUCUAAGGUUGACCUCGGAUCAGGUAGGGAUACCCGCUGAACUUAAGCA